AUUGAACGCUGGCGGAAUGCUUUACACAUGCAAGUCGAGCGGCAGCACGGGGGCAACCCUGGUGGCGAGCGGCGAACGGGUGAGUAAUACAUCGGAACAUGCCCAGUCGUGGGGGGAUAACACUUCGAAAGAAGUGCUAAUACCGCAUACGUCCUGAGGGAGAAAGCGGGGGAUCGCAAGACCUCGCGCGAUUGGAGUGGCCGAUGUCAGAUUAGCUAGUUGGUGGGGUAAAGGCCUACCAAGGCAACGAUCUGUAGCUGGUCUGAGAGGAUGAUCAGCCACACUGGGACUGAGACACGGUCCAGACUCCUACGGGAGGCAGCAGUGGGGAAUUUUGGACAAUGGGGGCAACCCUGAUCCAGCCAUGCCGCGUGCGGGAAGAAGGCC
RNAcentral lists this ribosomal RNA (387 nucleotides) under uncultured bacterium. Its description in RNAcentral is "bacterial SSU rRNA". It matches the Rfam family "Bacterial small subunit ribosomal RNA", at positions 29 to 416 of the family's 1533-position model. The record is from RNAcentral.